GGGGACCCCGGCCCGCCGCCCGCCGGCCCGCGCCCACCAGGCCCGAGCGGGCAGGCCGGCUGGCGAGCAGGGGGCGGGCGGGAGACGGAACAAAAGCGCCUUUGUUGAGCGGCAGCCGCCGGAGGGUCACACACAAUGGAGGAGGGAGCCGGCUCCGCCGCCGCCGGGCCCGCCGCGGCGCCCUCCCGAGCCGCCCCGCCGGCGCCCCGCACACGUACACACACACACUCACGGGACUCCUCCGGCUCAUCGAGGGAGUGCGGGGCCCGCGGACAGCCCCCAGGGUCGGCUCAGGUCUCCGGCUGUGCUGACGGCAGCGGCGUCUCCGAGGCUCUCGCUUUGCCGCAGUCGCCGCCAUGUAACCCCGACCCGAGAGAGAGGGCGAGGGAGAUGGGGCGGGGCCUCCGGGGCCACGCCCCCGCACGUCACAGGCUCACUCCACGGGUUCCCCCGCCCCCGCCCGGCCCCGCGCGCCAGCACGCGCCGGAAUUUCCAAAGCCUGUGACUGGGCUCCGCGGGCCGCGGGGGCGGCGGAGGGCGCGCGGGCGCUGGGGCCGCCUCCGGCGGCUGGACCCGCGACCGCUCUGCUAUGCUCCCUGUCCCCGCGCUGGAGCACAGCGACCCAACUCCUUGCGAGCGUUUCCUGCGCACCUACUACGUGCAAGGCGCUGGCAGUCCAGGAGGAAUAGGCCUUCGUCCCUGUCCCCGGAAAUGGGCCUGGAACGAGAAGGCUGGAGCUGAAGAUGGAUUGGCUAGAAGGCAACAGCCGACGUACAGGGCAAACGCGUUAGAGGCCAGGUGCUAAGGAGGUUGUUAAAUCUGCCCGCGGGUAUGAAGGAAGGCUUCUAAGGGAGGUCGCCACGGGUGACCUUUCAGCUGUAUCAGAAGGAGCUGAUAUAACCGGAGGAGAUCCAUCUGCUGGGUGUUUUCUACUCUGGAGAGCUUAAGGACAUCUCAGCCCAGUGACUUUUCUUCUAUGAGCCUGCUUUCAGACAGUCCGUAAAAGUUUUAAAGAAGACAAGUCCCCCAGAGGUAAUCCUUGAGGGCUCCACUCUGAAACAGGAAGACUCCAUCUGGUAUCCUGGCACCAACAGUAGUCAGUAGACUGGGUACUGGCCCCAGUUCUGACACAGUAGUUGUUAGAUUCCAGGCAAUUGCUGACAUGAUACCUGUGGUGGACAUUGAGAUGCAUUGGCCAGAUGCCCUUCAAGGAAGGACUUGUUGCCCAGCCGUGGGGAGAGUGCUCAGCACACAGCUGUCAGCUGUCAUUUCCUUCGGGGUUUGCCUCAUCUGCAGACAGCCACCUUGCCCGAGGAGAGGCUCCUUUCCUGGGCGGCCCAAAUUCAAUGGCUGAGCAAGGCAAGGAUAGAAAGGCCUGGCUAUUUCAGCCCUGUGAAGGACAACUUCAAUGGACUAUUUCUGCUCAAGAGCUCCCAGUGGGGUUAGCUGAGGCCUUAUCAGCCUGCAUCUCAGAUCAGAUUCUCCCUCUGCCCAAUCCUGUUUUCUUUCCCUCCCACCCAUGGGUAUUGAUCCCAAGAGCUCUCCCUAAUAAUUAUCCUGAACACUAAAGUCUGUCACAGAAUCUGCUUCCUGGAAAACUCAAACUGCCACAGUUGGAGCCAGGAGAGUUCUGAGAAAGCAGGUGAUAAGAUGGGGUUUUGGAGCUGAUCACUCACCACCCAGCUGGUAGAAGGACCUUGUCACAGUCAUAGAUGGAGCACAGAUAGUCCUUGGCACAAGGUGGUGGUCCAGUUAUUAAAACUUUCACCAGUGGUGAAUUGGGACGGUAUACUCGUGAAAGAGAAUGUAUUAGCUGGUGCAACAUAUGGAGGAAGUAGUAACUAUAAGGACAAUGGGAUAGGAUGGUUAGUGCUUAGCUCUUCUGAAGCUCUAGGAAAAGAAAACAGAAAGCUGAGAAAGUGACUAGCAGGCAACUGAAAGCAAAGUGUGAACACCAGAGGGUCUCUUUGGUGGCAUGUGAAGAGGCUUCCAUAACCUGCAGCGGGAGGGCCGAGAAAGCUGAGGACCAGACCGAACUAUGCAGCCAAGCUCCAAAGAAGGUGUUGACCCCAAAGGCACUUCCUAAUAAACAUCCUGGACACUAAACUCUGACUCAGAGUCUUCUUCCUGCAGAGCCUAAACUGUGAAAAUGCCCCAUCA
Equus caballus (horse) is the source of this 2160-nucleotide long non-coding RNA. The record is from Ensembl. NCBI's taxonomy places the organism in Eukaryota, Metazoa, Chordata, Mammalia, Perissodactyla, Equidae.